CUUUUCUUAAUGAAGAAAGUGGAAUGAAAAGCAAGGAAUAUAUAGGGUGAUAAAUGUGAGCCGUAGGAUGAGAGAGGAUUAGGGAAUAGCGAGAAGCAUCUGAGAUUAGAUGCUAAGAAUCGUGAAUGAAGAUGCUAAGCAUUUUCUCAACAGAUGGAAGUUUAAAAAGAUCAUCUACAAGUCGUGAUAGCCAUAUGUUACGGAUUUCAGCUGAACGCAAGUUUGAACCACUUUCAACGUAACCCACGAAAGACAUAUUUGGAAUCAAUGGAUGGAUUGUAGCCCUGUCAAGGAAGACUUUUAAGUAUAUAGAAAUGUUUAAGACAUAUUUAGAUUCAAUUACACAGAAAUUUUCACUAAGAGAGUGCAUAAUUACCUGUACAAGGGUAUCAUGCCCAAGGGGAACUCCAGCAGACUGCGAAAGGGAUCUGGUAAUAUGGCUUUGAGCUUUUUCUUCUCAUCAAAACCAGUUGCAAGUAUGACAACAUCGGCUUCCAACUUGGUGUUGUCAUCGAAUUCAACUCCUCCUUCCCAGAACCACCACUUUGAUGUUCUUUUAAACAAGAUUUUACCCUUAUCAGCCUCGCUGAAGAAAUUCUCCGGCAAGAUAGCCAUCUGACAUGAUGCAUAUAAUCUUCCUCAAAUGGGUGUUCUGGUUUUAGUCCAUACUUUUUUAGUGGAAGUUUCCAUUCCAAAUAUGACUCGAUGAACUUGGAAGUUGCUUUUCUCUGUCGCAA
Long non-coding RNA from Lycium barbarum (goji berry), 737 nucleotides. RefSeq lists it as uncharacterized. The transcript is spliced from 2 exons. The record is from RefSeq and is a predicted model, not a curated record. Lineage: Eukaryota; Viridiplantae; Streptophyta; Magnoliopsida; Solanales; Solanaceae.